Molecule: long non-coding RNA, 2611 nt
Filed under: Mus musculus (house mouse)
Lineage: Eukaryota; Metazoa; Chordata; Mammalia; Rodentia; Muridae
Description: long non-coding RNA chr12:82660308-82662919
Source: RNAcentral
GUUUCAUUUGGUGCUUGAAGAUUUCUUGUCCAAAAACUCUAAAUAUUGAUUUGUCUUUUCUCCCUUCUUGGGACACUAUUCAUGUUAAGACAAAAUUUUUCCUCUGGAUUUUGAAUCUUUUUUUUUUCAACAUUCAUUGCUCUAUUUUUAAUUAAUUCAUUUUUUGUAAGUUCCAAUGUAUUUUCUUUUUUGUAUCAAAUUUUAAAAAUAUUUUAUUUAUUCUUUGAAACUUUUAUAUAAUAAUGUAUUUUGAACAUUUUCCCCUUCCCCAACUUUUACCAAAUCCUUCCCUACCUUCCUACCCACGAACUCAAUGUUCUUCCUUUCUUAAGAAAACAAAACAAAACAAAACAAAAAACACCCCACCAAAAAAAUCCAGCAGUCUGAUUUGUGUUGGUCAGCUACUUCUGAGCACAGGGUCUGCCCCGGAGAGAGGUUGACAUACAGAGCAUUACUCCGUUGAAGAGGUAGACAUCUUUGAUAACAGUUGCCUUCCUUAGUCACUCCCUCAUUCAAGAGAAGGUUUCUCACUGAGUCUGGAGUAUACAGGCUGAGUAGACUGGCUGGUCCAGAGUGCCCCAGAGAUCCACUUGUUUCCACUGGGGUUACACACAUGGGCUACUUCACCUGAAUUUUGUUUUGUUUUGUUUUCUAAUCAUCGUGGGGAUUCCCAACUCAAGUACUCCUGCAUUUGUAGCAAACAAAUGCUUUAACCACUGAGACAUCCUCCCAGCCCAGACUGAUUAAUUAGAUUUUAUCUAAAUCUAAUUAUUAAAAAAAAAGUCAAAUUAAAGUAGCUCCUCUUUCACUCUUGAUAGAACUUCUGGGUCACUUUUAAAAGUUCUCUAUGUUCAGCCUCAUCCCAGGGUGUUCACUCGUGCCUCCUGCUCUUGGGGGACUAUGGCCUUCUGCUUUUGUUCUGGAAACUUCCUGGGACUUCAGGAAACCAUCCAAGUUCUCAGUGAAGCCCUUUGCUUAAGGGAUUGCUAGGGCCUUAACCUGGCAGAAGCAUCCCUGGUCCUGGCCUUCACUGUCUUCUCAGCGUGUGUCUCCUUUCAGAUCACAGGCAUAUGCUUUUCUUCCCUAGCUCUCAGCACUUUCAAACUUCUUCACUAUAGUAUUUCUCAGUCCUUCUGCUCUUACCAGGGGGUUUAUUCGGAAGCAUCGGAUGGAUGAGCUGUCUCCAGGAGUAGAAUCCCCAAAUACUGACUUUGAAAAAGCACGGAUCUGUCUUCCCUAGACCCAGUUGACCCUUACAAUGUUUUAAUUUUUUUAAUUUAUCGUUUAUCUUUGAGUUUUGAGUUUUAGUAUGUAGCCAGUGAGGCUUUGAACUCACCAUCCUCCUGCCUCAUCAUUCCUGAUGCUAGGAUUAAAUGUUUUUUGGUGCUGUACUUGUCUCUGAAAAUGAUGUUUGCAAAAGAUGUUUUCCAAGAGGCUUUUUUUGCAGUAGGAUGAUGUUGGAGAGGAAGGAGAAUAAGGGAAACCCUCAGAACAUGGAGAAGGUGGAAUUGAUCUGUGGUUAAUUUUUUGGAUGAAGGAUACAGAGGAUUCAAGGCUAAAGACCAAGAUGUGGGUCUCAGUGACUAGAGAGGUCAGUCACUACGGCAAGCAGAAGGAAGAGGAUAUGGAAAUGUAAUGUCAUUAGAGUCACAGAUUUUUUUUUUUUUACUUGACUUAUUUCUGUAAAAGUCUACCUGUGGGGUGGAUGGUAGUUCCAGAAAAACAACUCACAUAUGGAAGGAACCUGAAGAGACAUGUUGUCUGGAAGCAGUCAUCCUCAGCUGCAGGUAGUCUAGAACAAAUUCAGGAAAUAGCUUGCGCCUGUCAGUUAGUAUAUGUGACAAUUAGAACACUUCUGUAUUUGUAUGUAGGGCACUGGAAAGAAUUCUCAUACACUCUAUGGUUCUAGACAACAAAAAUAUGCUUCACUCUUGUGGAAGGUAGAAACCUGAGAUCAAAGUGUGGUGGAGCUGUGUUCCCUGUGAAGGCUGGAGGUCAGAGUCCUUCCCUGCCUCUUCCUACAUCUUUAUGGCCACUGGAAAUCCUUGGCAUUCUUCAGUUGGCAGGCUAAUUCCUUGAUCCGCCUUUGCCUUUAUCCCAUAUGCCCUUCUUCUGCUGUGUUCAGCUCUGUGUCUUUCUCCAGCCCUUUUAGAAGAGGACUAUCACUGAGUUUAGUCCCCACACUCCAAACCCAGUAUGAUUCUACUUCAGCUACUUAUAUUCAAAGGGACCCCCUUCUCAAAGUUAGGUCAUGCAAGUCAAAUCAACAAACAGUGUAUUCCUUGGACUCUAGCUUCUGGCAAAGUACUGCCUGAGGAAUAAAGGGUACCGCCAAACUCAGUCCCUGCCCUAGACAAGCCUGCCAGCCUAAUGGAGGAGAGCAGGGUGGACCAGGAUUAGAAAAUAAACUAAUUGUUUAUGGACCACUGCUCUCAGGCCAGGUUCUGUGGCAGGUGCAGUGUUCAUACUGACGCACGCAGAGUCACUGGAAGAACUUGUUGGUAAGACAGAUAAGGAAACCAAGAACCAGGGGAGUCAUGACUGGCAUUGAAUGCAGACUUGUGUGCUUUAUUCUGAAGCUUGGAGUUUCAGGGAACAAAUUGAUGUCUGU